GUCCACACUCACCUGGCUCCUGGCCGGGGUCCAGGGGAUCCUGGGGGCGGCUGCGGCCCUGCCUGUGCUUCUCCUGCUUGGCCCGGAUCCGUUCCAUCCUGUGGGGUGGGAGAGGCAGCUCUGAGCGCCAGGUGGGUGGGUCAGGAGACCUGGGGCGCCCACCCCAGACGGCACCUACUGUCUUUUCAGCUGGGCCAGGGACUUCUCCUCCGCCCUGCGGUGGAGGUCGAUGCUCUUGAGGUUGGCAGCAUUGUAGAGUGCGAAGCCCCUGUGAGGAGGGACAGGAAGGCUGGGCACACAGCUCAGCUGCACAGGCUCCCAGGCCUCUGGGCCCGGCCCAGCCCCCAUGGUCCUCCCUGCUCACACCAAGGGCCAGCUCCCCACCACGACACCCGCCUUGUCAUGUGCUGGUGAAAGGGAGGAGUGGCCUCCAGUCUCAUAGGUGGAAAAUGUGCUAGUGAAGAGGCGUCGGCGGGAUAGCAGCCCUGGCCGCCCAGCCACGGGAGGAAGGCCCUCCAGUCGGGGUGCACACUCUGGCCGGCGUGGGGGCAACAAGCUGACGGCAGAGCUGGGCCGGGACCGCUCAUCAUCAGUCAGGCAUUCAGGCCUGUGAAAAGGCCCUAGGGGUCUGUGGGCCUCGGUUCUCCCCCCAGGGGACGUGUCAGUGUCAUGGAGAGGCGACGCCUGCCCUAGAGGGCCCCGGGGGACCUGAGGCAGGGCCAACCUGGAGGCCAGCAGAGCGGUGGCCUGGAGCUCGGCCCUGACGUGCAGGAAGUAGUGACUGAGGAACACACGGCGCUGCAGCAGCAGGAACAGGAAGCAGACGCUGUCCCAGAGGACGCCGGCUUCCUCCACCGGCAGCAGGCAGUCCUGGUCCCUGCUCAGCAUCUCCUUGGCUGCAGGACAGACACAACACGGGUCAGAGGCGUGGUCAGCGUCAGGGGCACAAAUCAGGGACGUGGGUCGGGGUACAGGCCAAGGACAGGGGUGUGGGGCACAGGUCAGGUGCAUUUGUUGGGGUCAGAGUCAGGGAAUCCUGGAAGCAGCGCGUGUCCCUGAGCGGCUCCUCCCCUGGCAUGUCCUUGGCCCCCAGCUGCCUGCCCUCGCCCACUCACGGUCAUAGUAGCCUUUAACGGUGCACACGAGACUGAAGAGCUGGAUGACCCAGCAGAAGUUGCUCUGCAUUUGCUCCACGAAGACGCAGGACAGGAGCUAGGGGUGGGAGGAGGAUCAGCCUGGGCCCACCGGGUCAGGAAUUGGGGGUCAGGGCUGGGCGGGCUGGGCUCACCGAGAGCAUGUUCUUGGAGAUGAUGACGGUGACGUUGUAGAGAAUGAGGCAGUCCCACAACACGAGACGGGCGUGCGUGUCCUUCUGCAGCAGGGUGGUGCCGAAGAGCAGCAGGUAGAAGCAGGCCAGCAGGUAGCCCAGCCCGAAGAUGCUGAUGCGGGUGGCCCCCGUGACGAACACCACCACCAGCACCAGCCAGAAGAGGUAGCGGAAGACGGCCACCUUCAGCAUGUCGAGGGACACCACUGGCAGUGUCUGUCCCAGGCUCGGUCCUAGCCGGAGCCUGGGGACGUCUUUCAG
This is a long non-coding RNA of Equus asinus (donkey), 1588 nucleotides long. The record is from Ensembl. Lineage: Eukaryota; Metazoa; Chordata; Mammalia; Perissodactyla; Equidae.